AGAGUUUGAUCAUGGCUCAGGACGAACGCUGGCGGCGUGCCUAACACAUGCAAGUCGAACGGAGAAUUUGAUAAGUUUACUUAGAAAAAUUCUUAGUGGCGGACGGGUGAGUAACGCGUGGGUAACCUACCCAUAAAUCCGGGACAACCCUUGGAAACGAGGGCUAAUACCGGAUAAUCUUAGAGCCUGGCAUCAGGUUUUAAGGAAAGAUGGCCUCUGAAGAUGCUAUCGAUUAUGGAUGGACCCGCGUCUGAUUAGCUAGUUGGUGGGGUAAAGGCCUACCAAGGCGACGAUCAGUAGCCGGCCUGAGAGGGUGAACGGCCACACUGGGACUGAGACACGGCCCAGACUCCUACGGGAGGCAGCAGUGGGGAAUCUUCCGCAAUGGACGAAAGUCUGACGGAGCAACGCCGCGUGUAUGAUGAAGGUCUUCGGAUUGUAAAGUACUGUCUUUGGGGAAGAACGGUGGCUUUGAAAAUAUUGAGGCCACAUGACGGUACCCAAGGAGGAAGCCCCGGCUAACUACGUGCCAGCAGCCGCGGUAAUACGUAGGGGGCAAGCGUUGUCCGGAAUUAUUGGGCGUAAAGGGCGCGUAGGCGGAUUGUUAAGUCCGGUGUGAAAGAUCAGGGCUCAACCCUGAGAGUGCAUCGGAAACUGGGAAUCUUGAGGACAGGAGAGGAAAGUGGAAUUCCACGUGUAGCGGUGAAAUGCGUAGAUAUGUGGAGGAAC
This 729-nucleotide ribosomal RNA is filed under the name uncultured Desulfosporosinus sp. RNAcentral describes it as "bacterial SSU rRNA". It matches the Rfam family "Bacterial small subunit ribosomal RNA", at positions 8 to 707 of the family's 1533-position model. The record is from RNAcentral. Lineage: Bacteria; Bacillati; Bacillota; Clostridia; Eubacteriales; Desulfitobacteriaceae.